Molecule: long non-coding RNA, 238 nt
Organism: Nematolebias whitei (Rio pearlfish)
Lineage: Eukaryota; Metazoa; Chordata; Actinopteri; Cyprinodontiformes; Rivulidae
Exons: 3
Source: RefSeq, a predicted model, not a curated record
CGUGUAUCUAAUUCCUCAAACCCACCCAGGUUCCGGAUUAAGAUGAGUGAUGGCCAGCACUUCCUUUCCUCCUUUCUGCUGGCCACCCAAUUGAACAGACUGGCAGAAGAGAAUCUCCUUGUCCCAAACUGUCUGUGCAAGUUAAAGAGGACCACUAGUAGCACUCUGUCAGAUGGCAGGCUUGUGGUGAUUAUUGUGGACAUGGAUAUCUUGCAGUCGGCAAAGGAAACUGGAGGAA